UACCUACGGGAGGCAGCAGUGAGGAAUAUUGGUCAAUGGACGCAAGUCUGAACCAGCCAUGCCGCGUGCAGGAUGACGGCUCUAUGAGUUGUAAACUGCUUUUGUACGAGGGUAAACCCCGAUACGUGUAUCGGGUUGAAAGUAUCGUACGAAUAAGGAUCGGCUAACUCCGUGCCAGCAGCCGCGGUAAUACGGAGGAUCCGAGCGUUAUCCGGAUUUAUUGGGGUUAAAGGGUGCGAAGGCGGUUUGAUAGGUUAGAGGUGAAAUGCAGGGGUUCAACCCAGAAACGGGCUCUAAAACUGUUG
This 305-nucleotide ribosomal RNA is filed under the name uncultured bacterium. Its description in RNAcentral is "bacterial SSU rRNA". It matches the Rfam family "Bacterial small subunit ribosomal RNA", at positions 335 to 638 of the family's 1533-position model. The record is from RNAcentral.